This 74-nucleotide transfer RNA is filed under the name Bacillota bacterium. RNAcentral's name for it is "tRNA-Gly". It matches the Rfam family "tRNA". From Rfam's summary of the family: Transfer RNA (tRNA) molecules are approximately 80 nucleotides in length. Their secondary structure includes four short double-helical elements and three loops (D, anti-codon, and T loops). The record is from RNAcentral. Lineage: Bacteria; Bacillati; Bacillota. RNAcentral also lists the same sequence under 4 other names.
GCGGGUGUAGCUCAAUGGCAGAGCACCAGCUUCCCAAGCUGGCUACGAGGGUUCGAUUCCCUUCACCCGCUCCA